RNAcentral lists this ribosomal RNA (253 nucleotides) under uncultured bacterium. RNAcentral's name for it is "partial 16S ribosomal RNA". It matches the Rfam family "Bacterial small subunit ribosomal RNA", at positions 524 to 776 of the family's 1533-position model. The record is from RNAcentral.
UACGAAGGGGGCUAGCGUUGCUCGGAUUGACUGGGCGUAAAGGGCGCGUAGGCGGUUUGUACAGUCGGGCGUGAAAUUCCUGGGCUUAACCUGGGGGCUGCGUCCGAUACGUGCGAGCUUGAGUUCGGAAGAGGGUCGUGGAAUUCCCAGUGUAGAGGUGAAAUUCGUAGAUAUUGGGAAGAACACCGGUGGCGAAGGCGGCGACCUGGUCCGAUACUGACGCUGAGGCGCGAAAGCGUGGGGAGCAAACAGG